Molecule: ribosomal RNA, 253 nt
Filed under: uncultured bacterium
Lineage: Bacteria
Description: partial 16S ribosomal RNA
Rfam family: Bacterial small subunit ribosomal RNA
Source: RNAcentral
UACGUAGGGGGCAAGCGUUGUCCGGAAUUAUUGGGCGUAAAGAGCUCGUAGGCGGUUUGUCGCGUCGAAUGUGAAAACCCGGGGCUCAACCCCGGGCCUCAUUCGAUACGGGCAGACUAGAGUUCGGUAGGGGAGUCUGGAAUUCCUGGUGUAGCGGUGAAAUGCGCAGAUAUCAGGAGGAACACCGGUGGCGAAGGCGGGACUCUGGGCCGAUACUGACGCUGGAGGAGCGAAAGCGUGGGGAGCAAACAGG